GUGCCAGCAGCCGCGGUAACACGGACUGCGCGAACGUUAUUCGGAAUCACUGGGCUUAAAGCGUCCGUAGGCGGCCGUGCAGGUGGGGUGUGAAAUCCCUCGGCUUAACCGAGGAAUUGCGCUCCAAACCACACGGCUUGAGAGAGAUAGAGGUGAGCGGAACUCACGGUGGAGCGGUGAAAUGCGUUGAUAUCGUGAGGAACACCGGUGGCGAAAGCGGCUCACUGGGUCUCUUCUGACGCUGAGGGACGAAAGCUAGGGGAGCGAACGGGAUUAGAUACCCCGGUAGUCCUAGCUGUAAACGAUGAGCACUAGAUCGAGGGGACCUCCACAUCCCCUUGGUCGUAGCGAAAGUGUUAAGUGCUCCGCCUGGGGAGUAUGGUCGCAAGGCUGAA
This 395-nucleotide ribosomal RNA is filed under the name uncultured bacterium. RNAcentral's name for it is "bacterial SSU rRNA". It matches the Rfam family "Bacterial small subunit ribosomal RNA", at positions 505 to 898 of the family's 1533-position model. The record is from RNAcentral.